GGUUGACCUCGGAUCGGGUAGGGAUACCCGCUGAACUUAAGCAUAUCA
RNAcentral lists this ribosomal RNA (48 nucleotides) under Leohumicola minima. RNAcentral's name for it is "partial 28S ribosomal RNA". Lineage: Eukaryota; Fungi; Ascomycota; Leotiomycetes. The record is from RNAcentral.